UGGCUACAGAACGAACGCUGGCGGCAUGCCUAACACAUGCAAGUCGAACGAGACCUUCGGGUCUAGUGGCGCACGGGUGCGUAACGCGUGGGAAUCCGCCCUUGGUUCGGAAUAACAGUUAGAAAUGACUGCUAAUACCGGAUGAUGACGAAAGUCCAAAGAUUUAUCGCCGAGGGAUGAGCCCGCGUAGGAUUAGCUAGUUGGUGAGGUAAAGGCUCACCAAGGCGACGAUCCUUAGCUGGUCUGAGAGGAUGAUCAGCCACACUGGGACUGAGACACGGCCCAGACUCCUACGGGAGGCAGCAGUGGGGAAUAUUGGACAAUGGGCGAAAGCCUGAUCCAGCAAUGCCGCGUGAGUGAUGAAGGCCUUAGGGUCGUAAAGCUCUUUUACCAGGGAUGAUAAUGACAGUACCUGGAGAAUAAGCUCCGGCUAACUCCGUG
RNAcentral lists this ribosomal RNA (441 nucleotides) under uncultured bacterium. RNAcentral describes it as "bacterial SSU rRNA". It matches the Rfam family "Bacterial small subunit ribosomal RNA", at positions 26 to 507 of the family's 1533-position model. The record is from RNAcentral.